Molecule: long non-coding RNA, 1705 nt
Filed under: Lynx pardinus (Iberian lynx)
Lineage: Eukaryota; Metazoa; Chordata; Mammalia; Carnivora; Felidae
Source: RNAcentral
UCUCCGGUGGGACUGCGGAAAUUCUGCGGCCAGGCAGGAAAGCUUACCAAAUGCUGCAGCUUUGUCUUGGUCACGAUGGGCACCCCGUUAACGACAACUUUGCAUUUGCUGUGUGGCGUGACCGUCACCUUCCCAUCCAAAUUUGUGAAGGAAGCGUGUUUAUCUGAAAUGCUAAAAAGACAAGAGGUCUAGGUAGCCAAAAUAAUCGUGACUGUAGGGCACACGGUUUUGGUGGUUGCUCCCCACUCGCACGCGUAAGUAAGACCUAUGGAUGCUGCAGGGUGGCCGGAAGCGGCUCAAGGGGGUCGGGGUAGAUAGGAGCCGGAAAGGACAACAAAGCGAUUCUCGUAGCCACAGUACCAGCACCCGCUGAGGGCCGACAGCUACAAGGAGCCCGCAUAGGCAGGGUCAUCGCUGGGGUCCUCCAAGACUCACGGGCCGCAAGACUGAGUGGUGGGGAAAUGGAAAGAAAGAUGUUUCAGAGGGAUGCUGGGACAGGUGACCAGUGCUGACAGAUAAUAACGUACAUGCCACAGAGAAGGUCAGAGCGGUUUCUGGGUCUCCAUGAUACAACGGCAGACUUUAUAUGCUAAAGACUGGGGGACAGAUGUCAGAAGUGUCAGAUUGGCGGCCCCCUAGACAUCAUCCGGCUGCCCUGAGUGACCAGCUUCCUAACUGUUCUAGAAUGUUCCUAGACUCCUUGGCUGCUGUGGAAGGCUCUGGGCGUUGAGACACUUGUCCGUCCAUAUCCCUUGUGUGUGUAGGGCCCAGGGAUGCCGUGGGAAAGGCUAUACCCUCAGCUCAUCUGGAGUUCGGCCGUCUACAGGUCCCCACUGGAAGUGUCUGGAAAGGGAGACGAGGGGAAUUCCCAGGAAGAGUCAGGAGAAGGGGCCCAGAGGCUGGCGGUGCAGGGGGAAGCCAUGUCAGCUGGCCCCCCAGUCAGCGCAGGCCCCCUCCCCUCCUGUCCCUGUGCUUUGGCGCAGGAGGGUGAGGUACGUCAGGGGGACUGGUCGGUUGGCAAGCUGAUUGAGCCUACGGGCUGGAAAUCUGUGGGCGGUCAGGACACCCUGGAACUGGGGAGAAGAAGAGAGGCCACGGAGGUAGGAGACGGCUGUGAGUUCGUGAGAACCGCCAUAGGGUUCCACAGGGCCUCCUCUUGCAGAAGGGGUCACCCAAAGCCUGGGCUUUCCCUUCAUCCAGUUGGUGAGGGCUCUGAGGGCAGAGAUCUGAGGAUGCUAUUGCUUUGGGUGGUUAAGACCACGAAGGACGUGGGCCCCUUGUGGUGGGCUCUCUCUUCACUGUCUUCAUUUGCUGGCCUCGUCCACUUGUGUCUCCUUGUGUCGAUACCCCCUAUACGGGGGUCUAGCAACGGGCCUUCCCUUCCUCCCGACGUCAGAGCCCAGGAAGCAAAGUGAGUGCGGUGGGAAGGAUUUCAGUGGGAGAGGAAAGCCCUUCCUUCCAGAAGCCCCGAGCGGGUCCCUGGGGACGGCCUGGGAAUUUGUCCUGCAGGGUUUGUGGCCCCACCCGGCGAGGCCCAGACAAAUGUUGAGAACCUCCCGUGGAAUGAGUGGUCACAAUUCUUGGACGAAGACGGUUCACGUCAACUUACCCCAAACCUUGAAGGUGGAUGGCGUUUGAAGCGGCCCGACCGGCAUCACAUGAGCCUUGAAAAGAAUUAGGAUAAUUUCUUUUCAAACUUUGUCAG